RNAcentral lists this ribosomal RNA (975 nucleotides) under Triticum aestivum (bread wheat). RNAcentral describes it as "partial small subunit ribosomal RNA". Lineage: Eukaryota; Viridiplantae; Streptophyta; Magnoliopsida; Poales; Poaceae. The record is from RNAcentral.
AUGGCUUCCACCUUUUGGAUUUUACUCCAAACGCCGUGGCAUGCAUGGCUCUUUUCGCGCACCUCUGUGAGGGCUUCGCCGGGUGCAUCCCAACACGACGCUCUUCCGCCACUACUUCUCCCCUCGGAUCCAACCGGGGGGCGCCAUCUCCGGUUGCAUCACCUGGAUCCCACGGUCCAAGGGGGCGUACCCGGAGGGCGCCACGAAGGAGAGGUGGGAAGAAUGGCGGGGCCGCUGGGGUGCUGGAUUGAAGAGAAGGACCCUCCGGACUUUUGCCGGGUCCGCGACGCGCCGCCUGUUCGCCGAGGCGACUGGAGCGACGUCGACAUCAACGAAGAGAAGCUCACGAUCGCCACCACCAGGACCCUUCGUCUCACCAAGGUCGGGCUCACCCUCGAGAUGAUCGGGGCGGAUUUCAUCCGCCGCCGAAUCGCUCCUCUGCAUAACAAGGGGAGGCCGGCCUGGCUCUUCACGAACGCCGCCGACAUCAUGAGGCUUCGCCCCGGCCUCAACCAUAAUUUCACGGUGAUGGGGCAUGCUCACUUUUGCCAGCGGCUCUUCCACCUCGACGUGAACCGCCAUGGCGAGGUCGAGCGGACCGGCAAGGCUGCGAGGGCCGCCGUGAAGGCCAGUAAGGUCGCCAAGGGGCCCUUGUUCAAGUUGCCGGCAGGAGUGGUUCCACUGAGCAACAACUCUCGCCGGACCAAGAUCAUCGCUAUGAUGCCGGACUUCAACACGCAUGGCCUCGAUCCGAGCUGGGUCGAGCCGGAGGAGAUUCAGGUGCAGGAGUUGUUCGACACCUUGCACGAGGGGUACGUUACCAUGGAGCCGCGGCUUGUCCAGGACACCACCCAGGCGGAGCUGGACUACAACGCCGCCAGGGCGAUGGAGGCGAAGCUCGUCGAGGAGGCCGGCAGCGCCGGUGGCGUGGAGGACAAGGCUGCGGUGGAAGCGGAGGAGAAGGAGCUCGCCUAG